AAUUUGGGAUUUUUUGGAACACGUGCAGGUACCAGUAGUGCGUUUCAGUUCCCCGGAAAAAAUUCAGAGAAAAUUAGGGACAGCCUGUAGGCGCACUGUGAAGCCGUGUAAGGACCCCUCACCCUAUUUCCUAUCACGGUAUUAAAGUUCAAUAAUGAUAAAACGGAAAUUCUUGAAUCAACGAAUGUGUGAAAUUGCUUAAGGUCACCAAUGGAACCCGAGUCUAGUGUGUUGGUCGGUUAACUGUUAUUUGGCAUAUUUUACAGUUUUAAAUGCAGUAUGAGGUCUGAUGUUUUCAUUUUAUUGUUUCGCGUGCAUAUUUUACUGUUUUAUUGAUUAUGGGU
This 344-nucleotide long non-coding RNA is filed under the name Carica papaya (papaya). RNAcentral describes it as "long non-coding RNA (CPAP_LNC011666)". Lineage: Eukaryota; Viridiplantae; Streptophyta; Magnoliopsida; Brassicales; Caricaceae. The record is from RNAcentral.